RNAcentral lists this ribosomal RNA (363 nucleotides) under Chaetoceros curvisetus. RNAcentral's name for it is "partial Bacterial large subunit ribosomal RNA". It matches the Rfam family "Bacterial large subunit ribosomal RNA", at positions 1411 to 1836 of the family's 2925-position model. The record is from RNAcentral. Lineage: Eukaryota; Bacillariophyta; Thalassiosirophyceae; Chaetocerotales; Chaetocerotaceae.
GUAGUGGAUGGACAACGGGUUAAUAUUCCCGUACCUGCUCACACUAAAAGUGACGGAUCUCUGGAGUUGCUGCGUACUGACGGAAUAGUACGUUGAAGCAGUAAUGCGAUAGUACACUAAGGCUACGGCCGCGGUGAUAAUGUAGCGAAGGAGGUUCCAAGAAAAGCGAGUGAAGCAGCCUGUACCGUAAACCGACACAGGUGGUUGGGAUGAGAAUUCUAAGGUGCUCGAGAGAUUCAUGGCUAAGGAACUAGGCAAAAUCGACCCGUAACUUCGGGAGAAGGGUCGCCCUCCAAUGGAGGGCCGCAGUGAAGAGGUCCAGGCGACUGUUUAUCAAAAACACAGGACUCUGCAAAAUCGAAA